AAAAAUAAAAUAAAAACA
Molecule: small RNA, 18 nt
Filed under: Arabidopsis thaliana (thale cress)
Lineage: Eukaryota; Viridiplantae; Streptophyta; Magnoliopsida; Brassicales; Brassicaceae
Description: ATSL138200
Source: RNAcentral